This 457-nucleotide long non-coding RNA is filed under the name Gallus gallus (chicken). RNAcentral's name for it is "long non-coding RNA NONGGAT003389". The record is from RNAcentral. Lineage: Eukaryota; Metazoa; Chordata; Aves; Galliformes; Phasianidae.
GGACGAUCAGCUUCAGAAAGAAGUUGAGAUGAAAGGCACCAAAACUGAUCUUCCAGAAGGGGAUUCAAGGUGUCAGAGUAAUAUAGCAGAGCUUAUCUACGCGUGGUUCAGUAAAAGUGUUGUUUCUGUGUUUGCUCCUGCUGCAUUUCAAAUAACGCUGGGACUGAUACGGCUGUUCCCACUGAAUGGUUCCAGCUGAUGUAAGGCCAUGUCCUGCCCAGCGAUCUCUCUCCGUGCCCAAAUGAGGAAUGACAGCCCACUUCUGGGGACGAGGAGUUAAGUGUGAUUCGAUGAUGUCUCACAACGCCUUGAUGAUGAAGAAGACGUGAAUGAUUACAGCUCAUAGAGAUCUCACAGCUGGGGAAGAGAAUAUUGUUUGUUAGAGGGAUUGCUGUGAAACCAUUCCAUGCAAGCUGCCUUCCUGCCCUGAAUAGCAGCAAGACCCCACUAUUUCUAA